Pangasianodon gigas (Mekong giant catfish) is the source of this 74-nucleotide non-coding RNA. NCBI's taxonomy places the organism in Eukaryota, Metazoa, Chordata, Actinopteri, Siluriformes, Pangasiidae. The record is from the annotation of a GenBank genome assembly.
UCUCCCUGAGCACCAACCUGUGUGCAGAAUGAAAGAGGGGGGAAUAGGAGGGGGAGGCAGGAUCAGGAGAGACU